Molecule: non-coding RNA, 581 nt
Organism: Leptonychotes weddellii (Weddell seal)
Lineage: Eukaryota; Metazoa; Chordata; Mammalia; Carnivora; Phocidae
Source: RefSeq, a predicted model, not a curated record
GGCUCCCCUGGCCCGGGCGGGGCUGUCAUCACCUGCUGGUUGGGGGAGGAGGCGAGGCCCCCUGGGGGCUGUUGUCUUAGCGAUUGAGAAAGCAGGGAACUUGGCUCUGCCGGAACUGGUUCCCAGGCCAGGCCGGAACCUGUGGAGGCCGCAGUGCCCGUGGCCUAGGGGGCUCAGGGUUGCGGCCAGCUGAGGGCACGGGCUGGUUCCGGGGGCAAGGGGGAGCAUGUUUCUCUGUUCCACAGAGCCCCUUCCCCAGAGUGCCACCCCUGUGAGUGCUGCUCCCCACCUCGGGACGCCACGCUGACUAGCGCCUCCCUGCAGGUCUCCCUCAAUGCUUGGUUCUGGUCCACAGUCUUCCACACCAAGGACACCGACCUCACAGAGAAAAUGGAUUACUUCUGUGCCUCCACCGUCAUCCUGCACUCCAUCUAUCUGUGCUGUGUCAGGACCGUGGGGCUGCAGCACCCGGCUGUGGCCAGCGCCUUCCGGGCCCUCCUGCUGCUGCUGCUGACCGCGCACGUCUCCUACCUGAGCCUCGUCCGUUUCGACUAUGGCUACAACCUGGCGGCCAAUGUGGC